AGCACGGUCACGCCAUGCAGUGUCGAAU
Molecule: non-coding RNA, 28 nt
Filed under: Bombyx mori (domestic silkworm)
Lineage: Eukaryota; Metazoa; Arthropoda; Insecta; Lepidoptera; Bombycidae
Source: RNAcentral